Molecule: long non-coding RNA, 541 nt
Organism: Daphnia magna
Lineage: Eukaryota; Metazoa; Arthropoda; Branchiopoda; Diplostraca; Daphniidae
Exons: 3
Source: RefSeq, a predicted model, not a curated record
GAAAAGUUUUUUUUUCCAUUGGAUUUAGAUCUUUAUCUGUUUGCUAUUCUAAUAGCAAUUCUGUGCAGGUAAAUGGAUCCUAGCUUAACUAUCAAAUACAAACAGAAAAACUGGGAAAGAAGAGAAAGCAAGAAAGAAAAAUAACAAGUUAGGAAGGAAGAAGUGUGUAAGCCAAAAGUAAAUGAUCCCACCCUCACCCGGACAACUGACUGAAAUGGAGAACUGCAGCUAAUGUGACUAUCGUCAUGGAAUACUACGUCAGUAGUGCAGUUCUGAGUUUGUCUUUAUUUUGCCCGUAAGAAAAAAAGAUUGAAAUAGAAGAGAAAACUACCGUAAAACGCGUUUUGAAAAAGCCGAGCAAGGAAUAAGCGAACAAUUUUACCUGAUAAUUUGCUUGAAACGAUCUUUGAUUAUCUACUGUUACGGACCUCAAUGUAGAAAAUACGUCGCGUUCUGGAAGUAUCGCAGUGACCAGUGCGGGUGAAAAUUGGCCACAACUCGUGUAUAAUAGGCUAACUUAUCCCAUUUGAAAGGUUUCGGG